RNAcentral lists this ribosomal RNA (1328 nucleotides) under uncultured bacterium. Its description in RNAcentral is "bacterial SSU rRNA". It matches the Rfam family "Bacterial small subunit ribosomal RNA", at positions 28 to 1381 of the family's 1533-position model. The record is from RNAcentral.
GAUGAGCGCUGUCGGCGCGCCUAACACAUGCAAGUCGAACGGCACCUAUCUUCGGAUAGAAGCGAGUGGCGAACGGCUGAGUAACACGUGGAGAACCUGCCCCCUCCCCCGGGAUAGCCGCCCGAAAGGACGGGUAAUACCGGAUACCCCCGGGCGCCGCAUGGCGCCCGGGCUAAAGCCCCGACGGGAGGGGAUGGCUCCGCGGCCCAUCAGGUAGACGGCGGGGUGACGGCCCACCGUGCCGACAACGGGUAGCCGGGUUGAGAGACCGACCGGCCAGAUUGGGACUGAGACACGGCCCAGACUCCUACGGGAGGCAGCAGUGGGGAAUCUUGCGCAAUGGGGGGAACCCUGACGCAGCGACGCCGCGUGCGGGACGGAGGCCUUCGGGUCGUAAACCGCUUUCAGCAGGGAAGAGUCAAGACUGUACCUGCAGAAGAAGCCCCGGCUAACUACGUGCCAGCAGCCGCGGUAAUACGUAGGGGGCGAGCGUUAUCCGGAUUCAUUGGGCGUAAAGCGCGCGUAGGCGGCCCGGCAGGCCGGGGGUCGAAGCGGGGGGCUCAACCCCCCGAAGCCCCCGGAACCUCCGCGGCUUGGGUCCGGUAGGGGAGGGUGGAACCACCCGGUGUAGCGGUGGAAUGCGCAGAUAUCGGGUGGAACACCGGUGGCGAAGGCGGCCCUCUGGGCCGAGACCGACGCUGAGGCGCGAAAGCUGGGGGAGCGAACAGGAUUAGAUACCCUGGUAGUCCCAGCCGUAAACGAUGGACGCUAGGUGUGGGGGGACGAUCCCCCCGUGCCGCAGCCAACGCAUUAAGCGUCCCGCCUGGGGAGUACGGCCGCAAGGCCAAAACUCAAAGGAAUUGACGGGGGCCCGCACAAGCAGCGGAGCAUGUGGCUUAAUUCGAAGCAACGCGAAGAACCUUACCAGGGCUUGACAUAUGGGUGAAGCGGGGGAGACCCCGUGGCCGAGAGGAGCCCAUACAGGUGGUGCAUGGCUGUCGUCAGCUCGUGUCGUGAGAUGUUGGGUUAAGUCCCGCAACGAGCGCAACCCCCGCCGCGUGUUGCCAUCGGGUGAUGCCGGGAACCCACGCGGGACCGCCGCCGUCAAGGCGGAGGAGGGCGGGGACGACGUCAAGUCAUCAUGCCCCUUAUGCCCUGGGCUGCACACGUGCUACAAUGGCCGGUACAGAGGGAUGCCACCCCGCGAGGGGGAGCGGAUCCCGGAAAGCCGGCCCCAGUUCGGAUUGGGGGCUGCAACCCGCCCCCAUGAAGUCGGAGUUGCUAGUAAUCGCGGAUCAGCAUGCCGCGGUGAAUGCGUUCCCGGGCCU